UUCAUGCGGAUUUUUCGUUAA
Molecule: non-coding RNA, 21 nt
Filed under: Caenorhabditis elegans
Lineage: Eukaryota; Metazoa; Nematoda; Chromadorea; Rhabditida; Rhabditidae
Source: RNAcentral